GAUGAACGCUGGCGGCGUGCCUAAUACAUGCAAGUCGAGCGAACAGAUAAGGAGCUUGCUCCUUUGACGUUAGCGGCGGACGGGUGAGUAACACGUGGGUAACUUACCUAUAAGACUGGAAUAACUCCGGGAAACCGGGGCUAAUGCCGGAUAACAUGUUGAACCGCAUGGUUCUACAGUGAAAGGCGGCUUUGCUGUCACUUAUAGAUGGACCCGCGCCGUAUUAGCUAGUUGGUGAGGUAACGGCUCACCAAGGCAACGAUACGUAGCCGACCUGAGAGGGUGAUCGGCCACACUGGAACUGAGACACGGUCCAGACUCCUAAGGGAGGCAGCAGUAGGGAAUCUUCCGCAAAGGGCGAAAGCCUGACGGAGCAACGCCGCGUGAGUGAUGAAGGUCUUCGGAUCGUAAAACUCUGUUAUUAGGGAAGAACAAAUGCGUAAGUAACUGUGCGCGUCUUGACGGUACCUAAUCAGAAAGCCACGGCUAACUACGUG
Molecule: ribosomal RNA, 497 nt
Filed under: uncultured bacterium
Lineage: Bacteria
Description: partial 16S ribosomal RNA
Rfam family: Bacterial small subunit ribosomal RNA
Source: RNAcentral